Chelonia mydas (Green sea turtle) is the source of this 662-nucleotide long non-coding RNA. RefSeq lists it as uncharacterized. Lineage: Eukaryota; Metazoa; Chordata; Testudines; Cheloniidae. The record is from RefSeq and is a predicted model, not a curated record. The transcript has 3 exons.
CAUCUGUCUCCCUGAUGGUGGAAGGCUGUCGAGGCUGCUAGAUGUACUUUAAGUGAGGUAAGAGAGACCAGUCUUUCUGAUGCCUAGAAUAUAGUCUGGGAUCAAAGAGAGGGAGGAAGAUGUCAGAUCCACUGGUUUGGAAGUGCACCAAUUUUGGAAUUUUCACUUCUGCAGGUAAGUACAACAAAGCAAUUUCCUACUGUGCAGUAACACCUCUUUCACCUCCUCGGAGCAUUCGCUGUCUAAGUGCUGGAACCAUGAAGAAGCCAAGCCUGGAACCGAGGAUCUGUAGGUUGGGGUGAAGGAUCCAUCUGUCGUUUUGGCAGAGCAGGACCUUUGACAUCAGAGGGAAUGGAGGAAAGGUGUAUAGCAUCUCCCUGACCCAUGGAAAGAUGAAAGAUUCCCCUAGAAACUGUUUCCUCAGUCCAACUCUGGAGCAGUAUUGGAGACAUUUCUUGUUCUGCAAGUCUUCGGACUCCUAGCUGGGAUCACUACAAGCAUGCCUGAGAAAAGGAGAGGUCAGAGGUGGACAACACAAGGAAAGACAUUGAGGGUGCAUCCAGAGAGAAGAUGAAAUCAGUCCAAAAGAGGUAAAAUGUCUGACAAAUGAUCAUAGAUUUCAUGAAACAAAAAUGUAAAUAUGACUAUGCUAUCAAAGAAUG